AGAAUGAACGUUGGCGGCGUGGAUUAGGCAUGCAAGUCGUGCGAGAAGUCCCUUCGGGGAUGGACAGCGGCGAAAGGGAGAGUAACGGGUGGUUACAUACCCCCAGGCUCGGGAUAGUGUCGGGAAACUGACAGUAAUACCGAAUAAUAUCUUUGGAUCAAAGGUGUGAUUCCGCCUGAGGAUUGGACCGCUUUCUAUUAGCUUGUUGGCGGGGUAAUAGCCCACCAAGGCCGAGAUGGAUACCGGGUGUGAGAGCAUGGCCCGGCUCACUGGGACUGAGACACUGCCCAGACACCUACGGGUGGCUGCAGUCGAGAAUCUUCGGCAAUGGACGAAAGUCUGACCGAGCGACGCCGCGUGCGGAUGAAGGCCUUGGUGUAAACCGCUGUCAGUUGGAGGAAAUGUAUGGGUACUCCCGUCGUAUUUGACCGAUCUUCAGAGGAAGGAGGACUAAGUUCGUGCCAGCAGCCGC
RNAcentral lists this ribosomal RNA (472 nucleotides) under uncultured soil bacterium. RNAcentral describes it as "bacterial SSU rRNA". It matches the Rfam family "Bacterial small subunit ribosomal RNA", at positions 26 to 518 of the family's 1533-position model. The record is from RNAcentral.